AAGGAACCUGCCUUGGAGGAGGGAAUAACACUCCGAAAGGAGUGCUAAUACCGCAUGAUGCAGUUGGGUCGCAUGGCUCUGACUGCCAAAGAUUUAUCGCUCUGAGAUGGCCUCGCGUCUGAUUAGCUAGUAGGCGGGGUAACGGCCCACCUAGGCGACGAUCAGUAGCCGGACUGAGAGGUUGACCGGCCACAUUGGGACUGAGACACGGCCCAG
This 216-nucleotide ribosomal RNA is filed under the name uncultured bacterium. Its description in RNAcentral is "partial 16S ribosomal RNA". It matches the Rfam family "Bacterial small subunit ribosomal RNA", at positions 119 to 334 of the family's 1533-position model. The record is from RNAcentral.